GACGAACGCUGGCGGCGUGCCUAAUACAUGCAAGUAGAACGCACAGUUUAUACCGUAGCUUGCUACACCAUAAACUGUGAGUUGCGAACGGGUGAGUAACGCGUAGGUAACCUGCCUGGUAGCGGGGGAUAACUAUUGGAAACGAUAGCUAAUACCGCAUAAUAUUGAUUAUUGCAUGAUAAUUGAUUGAAAGAUGCUAUUGCAUCACUACCAGAUGGACCUGCGUUGUAUUAGCUAGUAGGUGAGGUAACGGCUCACCUAGGCGACGAUACAUAGCCGACCUGAGAGGGUGAUCGGCCAAACUGGGACUGGGACACGGCCCAGACUCCUACGGGAGGCAGCAGUAGGGAAUCUUCGGCAAUGGACGAAAGUCUGACCGAGCAACGCCGCGUGAGGGAAGAAGGUUGUCGGAUCGUAAAGCUCUGUUGUAAGAGAAGAACGGGUGUGAGAGUGGAAAGUUCACACUGUGACGGUAUCUUACCAGAAAGGGACGGCUAACUACGUG
Molecule: ribosomal RNA, 505 nt
Filed under: uncultured bacterium
Lineage: Bacteria
Description: partial 16S ribosomal RNA
Rfam family: Bacterial small subunit ribosomal RNA
Source: RNAcentral